Molecule: non-coding RNA, 659 nt
Filed under: Prismatomeris albidiflora
Lineage: Eukaryota; Viridiplantae; Streptophyta; Magnoliopsida; Gentianales; Rubiaceae
Source: RNAcentral
UUAGAUCCAGAGGAAUUCAAUAAACUAUUAAAAUCUUAGUUAUUAACUAUAUAUAUCUAGUCAAAGUCGAUAUGAAUUGAAUCUAGAAAAUAAUAGAAUUUCAAAUCAAUCAAAUCAAUAUUAUAGAACACAACGAUUAAUAGAGCGAUAUCGAAUUUCGAUUUAUUUAUCACUAAUACAAUUCGAAUAUUAUUAAAUCUGAUAUAUCUUUUAUUAUUUUUGUUUUUGUUUUGAGUUUUAUUAUUAUUUGAGUUUUAGAUAAUUAAAGUUUUCCUUUUUGAAUUCAAAUGACUUUUGAACUUCUUUUGAUUGUAUUAUUUUAUUGGAUUCUAUAUCAUAUAUUUUGAAUUACGAAUGGUUAGUUAGUUAGAACUAAUGAGACAUUACCCACUUUCAGUCAUAAAGAGGUAAGUAGGAAAAGCGGAAAUUAAGACGACAAAAAGAGAAUCGACCCUUCAAGUAUUAAAAAUUACGUCAAAAAUCUGACAGGUAGAUAUAUAUACCUAGGAUAUAUAUCCAUCUAUAUUGAAUUGCAGAUACAGAAAUGGUACAAUCAUGGUCGAUUGGACCAAAUCCAAAUAGGGUUCUCCUAUAGUCCUAUAGAAAAAUGGUAAGAAUAAGAAGAAGGUAGGAAAAGAAAACAUUUUUUCGAGAUAGGA